CUCCUUUCAGGAUCGCACCUGGAGAGUUUCCAAUACUCUACCAGUCCUGGCUAAGGGAGGGCGAGUCAAGCAGAGGCGUACCCACACCAUUCCUAGCUUGGGCAGUGGCUAGUGAGUGGAAGGCAAUCCGCUACAAGU
Small nucleolar RNA from Tachyglossus aculeatus (Australian echidna), 138 nucleotides. The record is from RefSeq and is a predicted model, not a curated record. NCBI's taxonomy places the organism in Eukaryota, Metazoa, Chordata, Mammalia, Monotremata, Tachyglossidae.